UAAAAACUUUCAACAACGGAUCUCUUGGUUCUGGCAUCGAUGAAGAACGCAGCGAAAUGCGAUAAGUAAUGCGAAUUGCAGAAUUCCGUGAGUCAUCGAAUCUUUGAACGCACAUUGCGCCCCUUGGUAUUCCGAAGGGCAUGCCUGUUCGAGCGUCAUUA
This 161-nucleotide ribosomal RNA is filed under the name Verrucaria alpicola. Its description in RNAcentral is "5.8S ribosomal RNA". It matches the Rfam family "5.8S ribosomal RNA". From Rfam's summary of the family: 5.8S ribosomal RNA (5.8S rRNA) is a component of the large subunit of the eukaryotic ribosome. It is transcribed by RNA polymerase I as part of the 45S precursor that also contains 18S and 28S rRNA. Lineage: Eukaryota; Fungi; Ascomycota; Eurotiomycetes; Verrucariales; Verrucariaceae. The record is from RNAcentral.